This 414-nucleotide ribosomal RNA is filed under the name Triticum aestivum (bread wheat). RNAcentral's name for it is "partial small subunit ribosomal RNA". Lineage: Eukaryota; Viridiplantae; Streptophyta; Magnoliopsida; Poales; Poaceae. The record is from RNAcentral.
AUGAUGAAGUAUGAGGCUAUGACUGACUCUCACUUCGAGAAUCUAUACAAGUACAGAGAGACAUGGGUACCCUGCUACUUCAAGCACCAAUUCUUCCCUUUCUUGCAGUCAACUCAACGCAGCGAGGGGUUCAAUGUUGUCCUUAAGCGAUAUGUGAACCCACACAAGUCCAUUUUGAACUUUGUGAAGCAAUAUCAGAAAAUCCAAACACACAUACUAGUCCGGGAGGGUUCAAAAGACUACAGGACAGCACAUUUACAGAAUGAAAUGUGGUCAUCUUACCCAAUAGAGAAGCAGGCGUACGGAUCGUACACUAGGGACUUGUACGAGAAGUUUCAUGAUGAGUUUCAGUUGACUACAAGGUACAAUGUGCGACCGCAUGGUGAAAACUUGUAUGAGGUUUACCCCAAUCAA